GAAAUAAACCUGAUGGGUUGUUGCUGGUUCUCUAGGGAGCAUGUGCACACCUUGUCAUCUUUAUAUCUCCACCUGUGCACCCUUUGUAGACCCUCACAGGUCUAUGUUGCUUCUUCAUUUGCCCCAAUGUAUGUCAAUAGAAUGUUUAUAUAAAAUCUAUACAACUUUCAGCAACGGAUCUCUUGGCUCU
RNAcentral lists this unclassified non-coding RNA (190 nucleotides) under rhizosphere metagenome. Its description in RNAcentral is "partial ribosomal RNA internal transcribed spacer region". The record is from RNAcentral.